Molecule: long non-coding RNA, 2146 nt
Organism: Gadus morhua (Atlantic cod)
Lineage: Eukaryota; Metazoa; Chordata; Actinopteri; Gadiformes; Gadidae
Exons: 3
Source: RefSeq, a predicted model, not a curated record
UUCACCAUUCAUAUCCAAUUCCCCCACGCUGACUUCCUUUCGUGGGAUGAAGUCCAGAGUUAUGCUGCUUUUAAUUGGGAGAAGGAGAUGAAGUCCGAAAGAGGUUUAAAUGAAGUCAUGAAGAAUUUUUCCUGGGGAAUGAAGUUGGCGUGCAAGACUCCAGACAUGCUGCAACACCAAAACAAAAUGCCAAAACAGGUUUCAGAAAAUUCAUCGGGCAUUGUGAGCACCAGACCUUGUUCAUCACUCAGUGAGGUUCCAACUUACAUCCAGUCCAGGCCAAGGCACCGGGGGGAAAACUGAUGAGUUCUGGUGAGAGCCAGACCAGGCAGCUCGGUGACUCAUAUUUGGCCCAUUUUCCUCUUCUACGCUCCACUUUGUAGGAAGUGUUGUGUAGACUCAAGCUCUAUAACCCAGUCUCAAUGCAUUCACUCUCUCGGCUCCUCCGUUGUGACUAAUACAUUUCGUAGUUGGCUUCAGAUCCUGAGCCAACAAGCAUCUCACGUGGAUUCCUGGUCAGCCGUGGGGACGGGGGGGGGGGUAUUUGGAGUGAUGGAGCCUGUUAUAAUUUCGAUCACUCAUGAUGUAUUGUCUGUGUUCUAGUUCAAUUUGCUUGUCAACAAUAUAUCUAAACAUUGUGUUGCAAACUAAAUAGAAUGCCUUUUCAGGCCCUCUUCAGAAAAGUUAUGAUUUUUGGCGUAUCAUUUGUAAAAAUAUUCAAAUUCACACCAUCUGAAAUUGAAUUCACAAUGGAAGCAUAUUUACAAUGAGUGUACAGCUGUUGCAGAUACAAGAGGGUUGUGCUAUGGAGAUCACUAUUUAUAUUAAUAGUGAAACAUGCAUGAUUAUAAAAAAAUCAACUAUAAUGAUCAACAGAAUGUGUAUAGUUAAAAGUUUGGACGUUAUGUCGAAGUCUUUGUGUUGUGAUAAAAACGUUGUCCAAACCCAUGUCCAACUUGCUCAAGCGCAGAUGGGUAGCAAAUAGGAAGCCACCACGCUGGAAAAAUGUUCUAGCUGGAAGUUGCAGAUUCAAAGAAAAUGAAUACAAAAUAAUAACACAUGCAUGGGAUGAACAGUGCAUACAUACAGAAAGUACAUAAAUACAGAACCUAAGAUGUAUAUUUUCAUGCAAUAUAUCUCUCCUUUGCCUGCCCUUUCUGUACACGUGGGGUCUAGGGUCCUGUGACAUGUGCAUAUUCUUACCUUGCAUGUUUUUUUCUAAUUGUUUUGUACAUGGAAACCCAAUUGACGGCAUUCCUCCACCCUUCCUUCAUCAGGCCCUAGCAACGUGUUUGCUUUAUACAAGUCACAUCUUUAGAAAAGUGCUGUGCUGACAAACCAAAGCACUUGCAUGAUUUAUAAUUCAGACAAAUGGAGAAACCGUUUUUUUUUUUUUAUUAGUCUUAUCAGAACAUUUCUCAGGCCUUUAAAGAGGAGUGGGGUGGGCCAAGGACUACCGAAGAGCAGACGAGAGAGGGGAAGCACAGGCCUUCAAAAAAAUUAUCUGCUGGUGAACCUCUUUUCAGCCAGAGCUCGAAGAGCAAACAUGCUUGGAAUACCACAUCCGUCAAGCGGAUUGGUUGGUGCAAUAUGGUACACAGCAUGAUUUAAAGCAAAGCAUGUGAACUGUACCGAAAACAAGAAUCCAACACAUUCCCAAAGCCCUUGAGAGCCAACUAAGUUCUGCAACCUUUCAAUUGAAAAUAAUAAAUAAAAUCAUUUCCUUUUUUUGAUAAAGAUGUAAUUUACUAAACACACACCUCAGUGAAAUACCUUUUGGAUUAUGAGGAAUUGCUUAAAGCUCCAUUACAGUUUUUCUCGAUUGUAUACACAAACAAAAAUGGAACUAUGCACACAAUUCUGAAAAGCUCAUAUAUCAACUACAAGACUCCAGAAUGCUAAACUCUAGGCACAAUUCCACUCUUGUCACAUUUUUGCUAAACUCUAAGCACAAAUCUCAUCAUUUAGCACACUUGGUUCAUCUGGAUCACACUGGCCUUCAAAACACAACAACUAAUUACCAAUAAGCCUCACUUCUCACCUUUUCAAACUCAACAGGCAAAACCAUUAAAUCAUGUGUCAGAGCAUAAAAGAGGACUCGGUGAGCUCUUCUGUGUUGUAGAUAUGGUCCUUUGGCCUGAUCAGG